AUAACAACUAUGAAAAGGAUAGUAAUAAAGGACUUGGUUUUUAUAGAGACAUAAUCCUAGGCUGAAAGAUUAUGACGAAGGUUUUUUAUGAAGAUCCCCUUGGAGUUGGGCAGCUGAAAUAAUCUUAAGCUGUUCCGUAGGUAUACGUUACAUGCUUUAAGCGAUUAAUGGAUUGUUUAUUUGAGCUGUCCAUUAAUAAAAAGGGUGGUACCGCGGAUAAUCCGUCCCUAAG
This 232-nucleotide non-coding RNA is filed under the name Desulfosporosinus sp. Its description in RNAcentral is "T-box sequence". It matches the Rfam family "T-box leader". From Rfam's summary of the family: Uncharged tRNA acts as the effector for transcription antitermination of genes in the T-box leader family. T-boxes are found upstream of many aminoacyl-tRNA synthetase genes and some amino acid biosynthetic genes usually in Gram-positive bacteria. The record is from RNAcentral. Lineage: Bacteria; Bacillati; Bacillota; Clostridia; Eubacteriales; Desulfitobacteriaceae.